RNAcentral lists this unclassified non-coding RNA (303 nucleotides) under uncultured Diatrype. Its description in RNAcentral is "sequence contains ITS1". The stretch from base 1 to 105 matches the Rfam family "5.8S ribosomal RNA", at positions 50 to 154 of the family's 154-position model. The record is from RNAcentral. Lineage: Eukaryota; Fungi; Ascomycota; Sordariomycetes; Xylariales; Diatrypaceae.
GAAAUGCGAUAAGUAAUGUGAAUUGCAGAAUUCAGUGAAUCAUCGAAUCUUUGAACGCACAUUGCGCCCAUUAGUAUUCUAGUGGGCAUGCCUGUUCGAGCGUCAUUUCAACCCUCAAGCCCUAGUUGCUUGGUGUUGGGAGCUUGCUAUUCGCAACUCCUUAAAGCUAUUGGCGGAGUCGUGUUGGCCCCAAGCGUAGUAAUUUUUCUCGCUUCAGGUGUCCCAGCGCUGGCGUCCAGCCGUAAAACCCCUAAUUUUCUAGUGGUUGACCUCGGAUCAGGUAGGAAUACCCGCUGAACUUAA